Haliotis rubra (blacklip abalone) is the source of this 2675-nucleotide long non-coding RNA. RefSeq lists it as uncharacterized. The record is from RefSeq and is a predicted model, not a curated record. Lineage: Eukaryota; Metazoa; Mollusca; Gastropoda; Lepetellida; Haliotidae. The transcript is spliced from 4 exons.
UUAAUAACUAAUUUUUAAAUGAUUCAUAUUAUGGAUAGUUUAAGUCAGAUUUAAAGUAUUUAAAUGGCAUUUGGAUGUGAUGCACAUAAAGAUGAGAAUUUUGUUAGAGGAACACAGUGUUUCGGAUUAUAUUCUUACUUCUCAUCAGGUGAAUGAUGAAGGGGUAAGACAAUAUUCCGAAACACUGUGUUCCUCUAAAUAAAGAAGUUGACAUCCAUAACUUCUCAUCUUUAGAUUUAACUUCAUGAAGACAAAUAUCUUGUUGAGGGACACUGAAGUUCACUGUUUGGGGCUCACUAAGCUGUCUCCCUUGCAGAUGCUGAAAUAUCCAUAUCCUAAGCAAGUCUAUAAUUGAUGCUUUGGCAAGUCUAGAUUUCUCACUUGAAAAUGAAUUCAGCCUCUUGUUUAUUUUAUUUUCAUAUAUUAAGAGACAUUUGAAAAAUAUUAAUGAGAAAUAUAAAACAUGUCCAAUAUUACAAAACAUUACAAAGAAAAAUUAGCCAAGGUAGUAAUGUUCACUCCAAUCGGUCCUUGUAGAUUGUGUAAUUAAGGUGUAGGUAUUUGUUGUUUUAGCAUUGUUGUGUAAAAACAGAUGCACUAUAGUCAUAUAAAGAAACUAAAAAUUCUUUGCCUUUGUUUAAGAAUAAAUUUUAAGAAUUGAACUUAACUAAUCCUAAUAUUUCUUUCAUCUUACAAACUCACUGUUAGUCUACAUAUUCAUAGACAUGUUCCCUCUUAGCACCAUAAUGAAUCAGUUAUGAUAUAAAUAAAAUAUGGUUUAUAUUUCAAAUAAUUAUACUUACUAACUUGUAUCAAAACCAGAUUUGUACAUGAAAAAUAAUUAACAGAGACAAAUUUGCAUCAUAAAAGUCAAUCCAGCGUAACCAUGGUUGGGUCAUGUUUGGGUUGACCUUGACAGGAAUGACAACCAUCCAGUCCAACUAUCUACAGGAAAUCAGAUCAAAUUCCACUUCAGUAUCAUGACCCUUGUGAUAAUCUGUUUACGAAAUUUGAUAUAAGAAUGUUUCUUGUUUAUUGGCUGUGUGCUACACUUGCUGUCAUCUGAUAGGACCAUCUUAGUAAAGAUUAUCUGAGCCCCUCCAUACAUCAACAAUAGUCAAGCCCCUUAGACCAUGCAUAAUCAUGCGCCUUGCAACAUGUAAUGAUGAUGAACACUAUGAUUUAGAAGUAUGAAACUAUUAGUUCAGGGUUUUGUUAAAUGGUUAUUGCCAUGUAUAUAAUUUUGAGUUCUGUAGAAUUUAAAAAACCCAAUUUGUUUAAAAGGCCCCAGUGGAUUCUGCCACCAUUGGGUUGAUUGAAAAUCAUAGUUAAUGGUUAAGAUGUAUAAAAUUUGAAUGCAUUGAAGUAUUUAUUGUAUUUUCAAUACUGAGUUGAUUUUAUUUGAUUUUAAAUAUUUUACUGAAAAACCACACUUUAGGUAAGUUUUGCCUACAUUCUUCUGACAAGGUGAUGUGACAGGGUGCAUGUGAAUUCAUCCAUUGUCUUAAGACGUCAUCAGAACGACUGAAAAUAUAAACAUAUCUGCCAUUGGUAAUAAAUUAAAAUUUGGGACCUAUACACUCAAUGACAACCACAUAAAAUUCAUCUCCUUAAUAAAUAUGUAAAUGAGUAAAUAAACAUAAUUAUUUCAUAUGCGUGUUAAAUAUAGCAGCUACGAUUCGUCUCAAAUGUGAUAUAUCAAGUCUGACAAAUUCUAACAUUUACUGCUGUUGGGUAUUAGAAUUUAGUGUACCUUCCGGCACUGAACAAUAAAAUUAUGAUAGUUUACUCCUCAAGAUUGACUCUAAUUUUACAACACACCUAAGACACUGACACCUUUGUUCACUGAGAGGGCUAAAGGUCACAUGUAGGGUAGUGAAGACACGCCCAUAUUAGACAGAAUGAGUGAUUAUGAACUGAGCCCAUGUGGCCUUCAACAACUGAUAUUUGACCUGAUAACUCCUGAACUUGAGACGGGUGACACAAGUGUUGUCAUGAUUUACUCGUGGGCUUUCAAGGACAGAAUAGGUAUGCUUGUCACAUUGGUCAAUUUACGUAAGAAUGUGAUAGUUACCCUGUGGGAUUCAGGGACAUCAUAGGUCCUCAGCUGGGAUAGUUACAACCCAGUGGAGAAUCAGGGUCAGAAUAGGUCCUCAGCUGGGAUAGUUACAACCCAGUGGAGAAUCAGGGUCAGAAUAGGUCCUCAGCUGGGAUAGUUACAACCCAGUGGAGAAUCAGGGUCAGAAUAGGUCCCAAGAUGGGAUAGUUACAACCCAGUGGAGAAUCAGGGUCAGAAUAGGUCCCAAGAUGGGAUAGUUACAACCCAUGGAGAAUCAGGGUCAGAAUAGGUCCCAAGAUGGGAUAGUUAACCCAUGGAGAAUCAGGGUCAGAAUAGGUCCCAAGAUGGGAUAGUUACAACCCAGUGGAGAAUCAGGGUCAGAAUAGGUCCCAAGAUGGGAUAGUUACAACCCAGUGGAGAAUCAGGGUCAGAAUAGGUCCUCAAGAUGGGAUAGUUACAACCCAGUGGAGAAUCAGGGUCAGAAUAGGUCCCAAGAUGGGAUAGUUACAACCCAGUGGAGAAUCAGGGUCAGAAUAGGUCCCAAGAUGGGAUAGUUACAACCCAGUGGAGAAUCAGGGUCAGAAUAGGUCCCAAGAUGGGAUAGUUACCCCAUGGA